This 876-nucleotide long non-coding RNA is filed under the name Cavia porcellus (domestic guinea pig). RNAcentral's name for it is "lncRNA (ENSCPOG00000039721.1)". The record is from RNAcentral. Lineage: Eukaryota; Metazoa; Chordata; Mammalia; Rodentia; Caviidae.
AUUCAAUUCAUUUGAAAAUACAUUCAAAGCAGUUAUUGUCAUUAAAGUCAAAUAAUGUCAAUUAAUCUUUCUCAUUUUCAUGUAAACAAAAAACCCCAUAUUCUCAAUAGUUUGUGCUGAGAGUCUGUUGACCAAGAUGGCACCUACUAGGGACCCAGAGCUGUCUCCCUUCUGUCACAGAUUAUAGACAUAAUAAUAACCAAUGUUAUGUCUGUAAAUAACUUUGUGCUCAAAUGUACUUUACUGCUGACUCCAGUGUUCACCGAAUGCCUACGAGACAUACCCACCCAAGCAAGUUUUUCUAUUCUAGAACUUACGAGCUCUUCCUGAACGGCGGGACCCCCUAUGAGAAAGGCGUGGAAGUGGACCCUUCCGUGUCCAGGAGAGCACACAGCAGUGUUUUCCAUCAGAUGCUGACCAUGCGAAGGCAGCCUCAACUUCUGGUGAAACUGAGGUCUCUGAACCAAAGAUCGAGAAACAUCCUGAGCUUCCUGCCAGAAACCUUGGUUGGAAGUAUGUGCUGCUCCCACCUGCUGGUAUUUUAUCGGCAGAUUCUUGGAGAUGCGCUGCUGAAAGACAGGACGAACUCACAGAAGGCUGAGCUCAUCAGUCACCCAAUGCUGGCCUCCUUCCCCCAGCUCCUGGAGCAGCCUGAAGUGAUGGACGCGCUAAGGAGUUCAUGGGCUGAGAAAGAAAGCACACUGAAAAGAUCAGAGAAGCUGCCAACAACUAAAUCACAUGGGGACAAGGAAAGAUGAGUUUGGCCUGGGCUGUGUCCCAUACUCACAAGUGCCUGGGUCCGCUCGUGUCACUUAGAAGAACUGUGAUUAUCACAGAAGUCGCAUGGAUCUGUGAGCAGCGGUUCAACUGCGCUGA